UGUUGGUGAGGUAAUGGCUCACCAAGGCGUCGACGGGUAGCCGGCCUGAGAGGGUGACCGGCCACACUGGGACUGAGACACGGCCCAGACUCCUACGGGAGGCAGCAGUGGGGAAUAUUGCACAAUGGGCGAAAGCCUGAUGCAGCAACGCCGCGUGAGGGACGACGGCCUUCGGGUUGUAAACCUCUUUUAGCAAGGAAGAAGCGAAAGUGACGGUACUUGCAGAAAAAGCGCCGGCUAACUACGUGCCAGCAGCCGCGGUAAUACGUAGGGCGCAAGCGUUAUCCGGAAUUAUUGGGUGUAAAGAGCUCGUAGGCGGUUUGUCGCGUCUGCUGUGAAAACCCGAGGCUCAACCUCGGGCCUGCAGUGGGUACGGGCAGACUAGAGUGCGGUAGGGGAGAUUGGAACUCCUGGUGUAGCGGUGGAAUGCGCAGAUAUCAGGAAGAACACCGAUGGCGAAGGCAGAUCUCUGGGCCGUAACUGACGCUGAGGAGCGAAAGGGUGGGGAGCAAACAGGCUUAGAUACCCUGGUAGUCCACCCCGUAAACGUUGGGAACUAGUUGUGGGGUCCAUUCCACGGAUUCCGUGACGCAGCUAACGCAUUAAGUUCCCCGCCUGGGGAGUACGGAAUCUCUAGAGGAUCC
RNAcentral lists this ribosomal RNA (644 nucleotides) under uncultured Actinomycetes bacterium. RNAcentral describes it as "bacterial SSU rRNA". It matches the Rfam family "Bacterial small subunit ribosomal RNA", at positions 247 to 912 of the family's 1533-position model. Lineage: Bacteria; Bacillati; Actinomycetota; Actinomycetes. The record is from RNAcentral.